This 410-nucleotide ribosomal RNA is filed under the name uncultured bacterium. Its description in RNAcentral is "bacterial SSU rRNA". It matches the Rfam family "Bacterial small subunit ribosomal RNA", at positions 370 to 772 of the family's 1533-position model. The record is from RNAcentral.
AAUGGGGGCAACCCUGAUCCAGCCAUGCCGCGUGUGUGAAGAAGGCCUUCGGGUUGUAAAGCACUUUAAGCGAGGAGGAAGGUCUUUGAACUAAUAUUUCAAAGAAUUGACGUUACUCGCAGAAUAAGCACCGGCUAACUCUGUGCCAGCAGCCGCGGUAAUACAGAGGGUGCAAGCGUUAAUCGGAAUUACUGGGCGUAAAGCGCGCGUAGGCGGUAUGUUAAGUCGGAUGUGAAAUCCCUGGGCUCAACCUAGGCAUUGCAUCCGAUACUGGCACACUAGAGUGUGGGAGAGGAAGGUAGAAUUCCAGGUGUAGCGGUGAAAUGCGUAGAGAUCUGGAGGAAUACCGAUGGCGAAGGCAGCCUUCUGGCCUAACACUGACGCUGAGGUGCGAAAGCAUGGGGAGCAAA